UACAGAGGUCCCAAGCGUUUGUUCGGAUUCACUGGGCGUAAAGGGUGCGUAGGCGGUGAGGUAAGUUUGACGUGAAAUCUCCGGGCUCAACCCGGAACUGCGUUGAAUACUAUUCGCUAGAGGAAUGGAGGGGAGACUGGAAUACUUGGUGUAGCAGUGAAAUGCGUAGAUAUCAAGUGGAACACCAGUGGCGAAGGCGAGUCUCUGGACAUUUCCUGACGCUGAGGCACGAAAGCCAGGGGAGCAAACGGG
RNAcentral lists this ribosomal RNA (252 nucleotides) under uncultured bacterium. RNAcentral describes it as "partial 16S ribosomal RNA". It matches the Rfam family "Bacterial small subunit ribosomal RNA", at positions 524 to 776 of the family's 1533-position model. The record is from RNAcentral.